UAACUCCCGAACCCCUGGUCUGAUCUGGGUGAAUUUUGGAUAUGUUAGUCACCCAGAUCAGGGUUACCAGGGGGUACCCCAAGUAUAAUUCUAGCUGCUUGCUUUGGGGUACAUCCAGAAUUCGGGGAAAACUACAGUAAGAUUAAUGGGAUUAUGUGUCACACUGAGGGGAGGAGAUGUGUGGGAGGUAACUGUUACACUAUUGGAUACUGUACUGAUUAAUGUGAAUCCCUCCCUUGCAUGGGAGAAUGCUUUAUAAGGAGGUUGUGUGGAUUAAAAGUCAGUUCUGCUCCUGAUGCUGUGUGUCGUCCAGUCAGUGGGAUCUGUAUGGGAAUAUUUGUGGAUUACCUUGCUUGCUGGGAUUAUUGCUCUAUGGUGUUUUUAUUACUUGUUCCUGAGCCUCACUGGGAUCUUUAGUGGAGUUAACCUGUGGAAUACCAGGCAUCCGCUACAAACACACUACAUGCC
This is a non-coding RNA of Pelobates cultripes (western spadefoot toad), 468 nucleotides long. The record is from the annotation of a GenBank genome assembly. Lineage: Eukaryota; Metazoa; Chordata; Amphibia; Anura; Pelobatidae.